Drosophila arizonae is the source of this 798-nucleotide long non-coding RNA. Lineage: Eukaryota; Metazoa; Arthropoda; Insecta; Diptera; Drosophilidae. The record is from RefSeq and is a predicted model, not a curated record.
UUAAGCAAAUCGAAAAUUCGUAUCAGUUCGCAGUUUGACAUUUGAACUGAUUAAACACUUAAAAAAACGAAGAAGAAGCAAAUUAAAAGCACAUGUCAAAGGCCGUAAUUAAUCGAGUUCAUUGCCUGGCCAGCACAGAAAGCUUGUCAGGCAAAAUGUAAAAAGUAAAAAAAAAAAAAAGAAUACAAAAACAACAACGACAAGAUCAAAAGGUUCAGUGCCGGCUGCGAUUUAUGCAACUGAGCAGGGAGGGGGCGUGUGAAAGAAAACACUGAAAAAAGAGUGGAAGAAGAAGAGCAGCAAAGACUAGGUAACUGGUAACUGACACCCUAUCAAACAAGACCACCCACCCACCCAUCUACUCGUGUGCCUCUACCUCUAUCUGCAGCCACAACCACCGCCCUGUGCGACUGUCACUCAUGCAAAUGACAGACAUUUGUCACGUUGCUUUGUACGUGAAAUUGUAAAAUGUUAAUGUGCCAGACGAGCGGCAACUUAUUCUUUUUCCGCUGGGGUCGCUUUAAGUGCGCUGCUAUGUGAAGAGAAGAGAGCAAAAGAGAUGGAGGAAAUAUAUUCGGGAGCAAACGGGAGUGAGCGAAUAUGUCCAUGUGUGUUUGUGGGUGUGUAUGUAUGUGCCUAUAACUUCUGCUUACACUUAGCAUAUGGAUGCAUCUGUGUGUGUGGGUGUUUGCAAAACGCGCAAUUACGAUUAAUUGCAUUUGAUAAAAUGCCAUUAAAAAAUGUAAAGCCGAAAAUUGUAACGUGUUGUCUUCUAGAAAAUCCUCAAGUCAAGUUUGA